RNAcentral lists this unclassified non-coding RNA (723 nucleotides) under Hevea brasiliensis (rubber tree). Lineage: Eukaryota; Viridiplantae; Streptophyta; Magnoliopsida; Malpighiales; Euphorbiaceae. The record is from RNAcentral.
UGUGAAACAAAUAAAACCUUAGUUAAUAUAAAAUAAUAUAGCCAAUCAAAUAAUUGAACUUGUACAAAUUAUAAUUAUGCUGAAAUUACAGAAAAAAGAAUUAAUUAACCUCUCUAAACAUUAAUAUAGUUACAAACCCCAUAGUCACAUAAUGCAUUAAGGCAUUCCACUCCAACAAAAUUAAACAUGGCAAAACUAUAAUAUCAUCACCAUCCACCGUCAAUCAUUCUCAUCAAGAACAAGCAUCAAGCAACACGCAGAUGAAACCCCAAUGAUGUCAUCAUUCAUCAGCAUUAACUAGGCCAAUCAUUUAUCACCUCCAGGUCCAUCAAUUUAAGCUAAUUGGGCCUACCCAAAGUAGUACCUGGACCACUAUAGCUCGGCCCAGUACCUUUCCCUAAACCAACUCCACCUACCUGAUUAUAAAACCCACCAACGGUCCCGUACACGUGGCUCUGAUACCCAACAGCAUAACCCUCGACAGCAAACCCACCGCCAUUACCGGGAGCGUCCUUAUCACGCGCAACUGCAGUCUUCUCCCCUUCCAUUUCUCUAAACCUCUGCAAGUAAACCUUCAAAGGCUCGACGUAGUCUUCAAAGCCCAAAGUGGUCAUAGCCCAGAGGAGAUCAUCGCCGUUGAUGGUCUUCCUCUUCUCUCUCUGACACUUAUCGGAAGCUUCACCUGUAAUGAAGCUUAUGAAUUCAGAGACGCAUUCCUGAACG